UUUUGAGUAUGUGUAUAUUUCAAGCAUGCUGAUUCUGAAAAUGUAUGUUUCAUGUGAAUGGCAUGUAUAUUUUGGAAGUUAUUAAUAUUUUGUAAAAACUGUAUUUCCCUGCCUGUGAUAAUUAUAUUACCCAUUGUGUUCAGUAAUCAUAUCACAGGCAGAGAGGUGGAUUUUGUGUGGGAGUGUCUGUGUGUAUUGUACGG
This is a non-coding RNA of Pelobates cultripes (western spadefoot toad), 203 nucleotides long. The record is from the annotation of a GenBank genome assembly. Lineage: Eukaryota; Metazoa; Chordata; Amphibia; Anura; Pelobatidae.